Long non-coding RNA from Lutra lutra (Eurasian river otter), 265 nucleotides. RefSeq lists it as uncharacterized. The record is from RefSeq and is a predicted model, not a curated record. The transcript has 4 exons. NCBI's taxonomy places the organism in Eukaryota, Metazoa, Chordata, Mammalia, Carnivora, Mustelidae.
AAUUACUUGUAAUACUGUCAUAAAAGGAAGAUACUGGGAAUGACAACUAUAAUCAUUACAAUUACUAUUUAUUGAAGACCUAAUAUAAGCAAAAUGCUAUAUGUACAUUAUCAAUAAUUACUAUAAAAAGGCAUCAACUCCACUUCACAAAUGAGAAAACAGAGGCACUGAGAAUUCAAAAGGGCUACCUAAAGUUUUCCAGGUAAUGAGUAUGCAGCCAGAAUCUAAGCCCAGGUCUGGGCCUGGCUUUCUCAUUUCAUAAGUG